GGACAUGGAGAACCUUUAUGUCCAGCUCAAGUUGCAGUCCGUAGGCACUUGCUUUAACCGUGAAGAAUUACCUUCAGUACUUCAGUGGCCUCAGGGUGAGGAAUUGGGAGCCACCAGUGUGACAAAUAAACCUGGACUCUCAGCAAUGAGGAAAGAAACAGACCAACAAGUUGGGGAAAGAAAGCUCACAUACUGCGGUGACCAGGUAACUCUGUUCACAGACCAAGGAAAAAUUGCUCAGGUAUCACCCUUUCAACGGAGAACAUCUUGCUACCAUAAUUGCAAUGCCCAAUCCCCACUUCUUUGAGCACUACUGAUCUUCUCAUCCAAUUUUUGUUCUGUUUAAUGGUAUUUAUCAUCUUAUAACUUUCUGUAUAUUUGACUAUUAUACUUACUCUUCAAUGUCUGUCUACCUAAAUCAUAUUGCAAGGUCCUGGAGCACAAGAUUUUUGUUUUCUUUGUUCAGUCAGGCAUUCAAAUUGCCUAGAACUAAAAACAUAAAAAGAACCUGGGGCCGGGCACAGUGGCUCAUGCCUGUAAU
Molecule: long non-coding RNA, 541 nt
Filed under: Homo sapiens (human)
Lineage: Eukaryota; Metazoa; Chordata; Mammalia; Primates; Hominidae
Description: HSALNT0325677
Source: RNAcentral